GACCGAGUCAAUAUGGUGAAUAAGAUGAUUUUCCACCAGUCAUCUUUGUUUGAAGUCAUCAUGCCAAUAUCUGGCGACAACAUUGAACACCAGGCUGGAUCCACAGUUGGACAGAUGAUUCCCUCAGGAUCCAUGGGGGAAACUGUGUCCAAAGAGUGGCUGUUGGAGAAUGAAGUCUCAGUGGGAGACACAACAUUGCACAAGAGCCUGCCUGAAGAAAGACC
Non-coding RNA from Epinephelus lanceolatus (giant grouper), 224 nucleotides. The record is from RefSeq and is a predicted model, not a curated record. NCBI's taxonomy places the organism in Eukaryota, Metazoa, Chordata, Actinopteri, Perciformes, Serranidae.